RNAcentral lists this ribosomal RNA (449 nucleotides) under uncultured bacterium. RNAcentral's name for it is "partial 16S ribosomal RNA". It matches the Rfam family "Bacterial small subunit ribosomal RNA", at positions 329 to 794 of the family's 1533-position model. The record is from RNAcentral.
CUCCAGACUCCUACGGGAGGCAGCAGUGGGGGAUAUUGCACAAUGGGGGGAACCCUGAUGCAGCGACGCCGCGUGGGUGAAGGAGCGUUUCGGCGCGUAAAGCCCUAUCGGCAGGGAAGAAGGAGGACGGUACCUGACUAAGAAGCCCCGGCUAACUACGUGCCAGCAGCCGCGGUAAUACGUAGGGGGCAAGCGUUAUCCGGAUUUACUGGGGGUAAAGGGGGCGCAGACGGCAGCGCAAGCCAGGAGUGAAAGCCCGGGGCCCAACCCCGGGACUGCUCUGGAAACUGCGGCGCUGGAGUACGGGAGGGGCAGGCGGAAUUCCUGGUGUAGCGGUGAAAUGCGUAGAUAUCAGGAGGAACACCGGCGGCGAAGGCGGCCUGCUGGACCGUGACUGACGUUGAGGCUCGAGAGCGUGGGGAGCAAACAGGAUUAGAUACCCGUGUAAC